AGAAUCAACGCUGGCGGCGUGCCUAACACAUGCAAGUCGAACGAGAAAGUGGGAGCAAUCCCACGAGUAAAGUGGCGCACGGGUGAGUAACACGUGACUAACCUACCCUUGAGUGGGGGAUAACCUAGGGAAAACCUGGGCUAAUACCGCAUAAUACCUACGGGUCAAAGGAGCAAUUCGCUUAAGGAGGGGGUCGCGGCAGAUUAGUUAGUUGGCGGGGUAAUGGCCCACCAAGACAGUGAUCUGUA
RNAcentral lists this ribosomal RNA (248 nucleotides) under uncultured bacterium. RNAcentral describes it as "partial small subunit ribosomal RNA". It matches the Rfam family "Bacterial small subunit ribosomal RNA", at positions 26 to 285 of the family's 1533-position model. The record is from RNAcentral.